RNAcentral lists this ribosomal RNA (253 nucleotides) under uncultured bacterium. RNAcentral describes it as "partial 16S ribosomal RNA". It matches the Rfam family "Bacterial small subunit ribosomal RNA", at positions 524 to 776 of the family's 1533-position model. The record is from RNAcentral.
GACGGAGGGUGCGAGCGUUAUUCGGAAUCAUUGGGCGUAAAGAGCGUGUAGGCGGCCGGUUAAGUCAGGUGUGAAAGCCCGGGGCUCAACCCCGGAAGGGCACUUGAUACUGGUCGGCUUGAGUUCGGGAGAGGGAAGCGGAAUUCCUGGUGUAGAGGUGAAAUUCGUAGAUAUCAGGAGGAACACCGGUGGCGAAGGCGGCUUCCUGGACCGAAACUGACGCUGAGACGCGAAAGCGUGGGGAGCAAACAGG